This is a long non-coding RNA of Metopolophium dirhodum (rose-grain aphid), 638 nucleotides long. RefSeq lists it as uncharacterized. Lineage: Eukaryota; Metazoa; Arthropoda; Insecta; Hemiptera; Aphididae. The transcript is spliced from 4 exons. The record is from RefSeq and is a predicted model, not a curated record.
CUAAAACCUUGAAUUUUGUGCUAGUAAAAACACGUUAUACGAUCGAUGUUUACCCGCAUAGAAAUUCGAUGAAAACGAAAAACGACAUGGGAAUAAUAUCAGCUAAAGUUGAACAUUUGAAUGUAAUAAUAAUAAUAAUAUUUACCUACAGCCACCAAAUAACUGCAGUCAAGUUUUUAAAAUGUGAGGUGAAUUUUAUUCGUGCAUCAAUCCCAAAAAUAAAAUAUUGAAUUUGCCGUCUAACUAAAAUCAAAACAAUGAACAGGAUGUAAUCCUCGGAACAUCUGGAUGGAUUGAUGGCGCGUUUGACCCGGUGAGUGGUGACGGGUCUGUUGGUCCGCUUGUAUUCGCGUCACGCGGAAUUCCGCACAUAAAAGGAAAAAAAAAUACAGUCAUAGCUAUUUGUCAUUUCUCUCGGUGGUUGAAAAAUGUAAAGGGACCGUGUGAACAGUGUCUCAAGAAAAACACGCCCGCGACCACUGCGCGAACUCAACCCGCAUUAUAAUAUUGUUAUAACUUAUAAUAAUAAUGUUUUAUUAUUAUACAAGUAUGCCGUUGGGGGUUUGUGUGCACGAUUGGUGGAGGAGGGUUGGCAGAGGGCGCAGAAUUCGUAGUCAUUCCGACGUACUUGGAAUUUC